This 329-nucleotide unclassified non-coding RNA is filed under the name soil metagenome. RNAcentral's name for it is "partial contains 5.8S ribosomal RNA, internal transcribed spacer 2, and large subunit ribosomal RNA". The stretch from base 1 to 120 matches the Rfam family "5.8S ribosomal RNA", at positions 35 to 154 of the family's 154-position model. The record is from RNAcentral.
GAUGAAGAACGCAGCGAAAUGCGAUAAGUAGUGUGAAUUGCAGAAUUCAGUGAAUCAUCGAAUCUUUGAACGCACAUUGCGCCCCUUGGUAUCCCGAGGGGCAUGCCUGUUCGAGCGUCAUUUCACCACUCAAGCCUGGCUUGGUGUUGGGCGACGUCCCCUUUGGGGACGCGCCUCGAAACGCUCGGCGGCGUGGCACCGGCUUUAAUCGUAGCAGAAUCUUUCGCUUUGGAAGUCGGGGCCCCGUCUGCCGGAAGACCUACUCGCAAGGUUGACCUCGGAUCAGGCAGGGAUACCCGCUGAACUUAAGCAUAUCAAUAAGCGGAGGA